This 292-nucleotide ribosomal RNA is filed under the name uncultured bacterium. RNAcentral's name for it is "partial 16S ribosomal RNA". It matches the Rfam family "Bacterial small subunit ribosomal RNA", at positions 505 to 796 of the family's 1533-position model. The record is from RNAcentral.
GUGUCAGCAGCCGCGGUAAUACAGAGGUCCCAAGCGUUGUUCGGAUUCACUGGGCGUAAAGGGUGCGUAGGUGGUGAGGUAAGUCGGAUGUGAAAGCUCCGAGCUCAACUCGGAAAUGGCAUUGGAAACUACCUUGCUCGAGGGUUUGAGGGGGGACUGGAAUACUUGGUGUAGCAGUGAAAUGCGUAGAUAUCAAGUAGAACACCAGUGGCGAAGGCGAGUCCCUGGAAAACUCCUGACACUGAGGCACGAAAGCUAGGGGAGCAAACAGGAUUAGAAACCCCUGUAGUCC